GGUGCUGUCUGUGUUGUGUUGGAGUCAGAGGUUGAAGCUGCCAGCAUGAUCUGGGUUUUCUGAUGAAGGAAUUCAGGUCAUCUGGCAGCUUCACUCACUCACUUCCAUCACCCUCAUUUAGCCUUCC
Molecule: microRNA precursor, 127 nt
Filed under: Linum usitatissimum (flax)
Lineage: Eukaryota; Viridiplantae; Streptophyta; Magnoliopsida; Malpighiales; Linaceae
Description: miR167g stem-loop (lus-MIR167g)
Gene: lus-MIR167g
Rfam family: MIR167 microRNA precursor family (bases 20-105)
Source: miRBase by way of RNAcentral